Molecule: ribosomal RNA, 423 nt
Filed under: uncultured bacterium
Lineage: Bacteria
Description: bacterial SSU rRNA
Rfam family: Bacterial small subunit ribosomal RNA
Source: RNAcentral
UGAGGAAUAUUGGUCAAUGGUCGGGAGACUGAACCAGCCAAGCCGCGUGAGGGAAGAAGGUACAGCGUAUCGUAAACCUCUUUUGCCGGGGAGCAAAGUGCCGCACGUGUGCGGUUUGGAGAGUACCCGGAGAAAAAGCAUCGGCUAACUCCGUGCCAGCAGCCGCGGUAAUACGGAGGAUGCGAGCGUUAUCCGGAUUUAUUGGGUUUAAAGGGUGCGCAGGCGGUCUGUUAAGUCAGCGGUCAAAGCCCGGGGCUCAACCCCGGCCCGCCGUUGAAACUGGCAGUCUCGAGUUGGAGAGAAGUAUGCGGAAUGCGCGGUGUAGCGGUGAAAUGCAUAGAUAUCGCGCAGAACUCCGAUUGCGAAGGCAGCAUGCCGGCUCCACACUGACGCUGAGGCACGAAAGCGUGGGUAUCGAACAGG